AGGACAUUAUAAAAGAAAUUAUUUCCAGGAAUUAAUUGAGGAACAAAUAUCCUCAAAAAAUAAAAGUGACUGUCUAUCUUCACUGGAUGUCUUUAAGAUUAACCCUUCUUCCUGCCUGAAAUGCAGACAUGAAGAAAUCCUGAGGAUGGAAACCAUGAGCUAAAAAUGGCAGAGCACAGUGACGGAAGCAAUCUGUAUCUCUAGUAUCUGUGGAGCUGCCGUAUCAACUCUAGACUGCCGGUCUCAGAUUUCAUUCCAGAGAAAAAUAAGCACUAUUCAAGAAUAAUCCCAAAGUUACUUGGGAUUUCUGUUAUAUGCAGCUGAAUUUAAUCCAACUGAUACAGUAGGGCCAAAAAAAAAAAAAAUCUUCUAUGUUAUAAUCACAAAUAUCUUUUAAACAUAUUUAUACAUGUAUUUUAAAUAGGAAAAAUUCUAUCAGUUGAUUGUUGAUAUCACUGAUUAUUUAUAGGUGAUGAGAUUGUAGAUUAUCAUAAUGAUCAUAAACUUUAUAUUUCUUAUAUUUUCUAAAUUUCCCACAAUGAGCACAUACAUUUUAUAAUUUAAAAGUCUCAUUGAAAAUUGUCCUCUCCACCCUGUAAAAUACAUGCAUGUCACUCUCUAAACUACUUACCAAUUUUGCCUUAAUGGUACCAGAGUCAACACUUUGACCAGUUUUAGCAUGAAGCUGAAGCUGAAUAGAGUGCAGCUGUAAAAGCUGAUCAUGUACUUCUUUCUCCAAAACAACUUUCUCUGCUUGGGUUUCUGUCAGUUCAGAUUUCAGAUCCACCAACUGUGCCUUAUAAAGAAAACAAUAAAAGAAAUUAAGGAUG
This is a long non-coding RNA of Piliocolobus tephrosceles (Ugandan red Colobus), 830 nucleotides long. RefSeq lists it as uncharacterized. The record is from RefSeq and is a predicted model, not a curated record. NCBI's taxonomy places the organism in Eukaryota, Metazoa, Chordata, Mammalia, Primates, Cercopithecidae. The transcript has 2 exons.